GCUGCCGGCUUCUUCUGCUCCUGGACGGCCACAGUGGCGCCCUCUUUCGGCGUCUCCAGCCCUGUAAUGUAGUUUGGACCUCUCGUUUUGGAAAGCAGUGGGCCAGCGGGAGAACGCGGGAUGGGAGCGCAGCGCUCCUGGGGUCUUUGUGCACCCCAGUGUGGGUGACUGCGGGUGGAGACGUCCCAUGGUGGGAGCUCCCGGCGGGUCCCAUCUAACCCCUUCAGGGCGUGCGCUCCGAGCCCGCGGGCUGGCAGGGCCGCGGGUCCCCAUCCCGGCCUUAUUCUGCUCCUGUUAGUUGGGGACCUUGAAUCAGCCCGCCGGCGGUAGGAACUGAAAGCCAGAAGACGCAAACAGGGAUUGCACAGAGAGAAGCAGUAGCACCCCAGGUACCUGACCUUUCGCAUGCUUUCCCAAGGCCUGACGGGCUCUCCCUUCCUCUAGCACCAGGCUGUGAGAUUUGAGAAAGUAUAUUUAGGAGCCUGGAGGCAGGCACAUCGGAACCGGUCCUCUUUCAGCCCUGCCUGAUCUACAAUUUGUUUACCUCUUCUGACAGCUGCAGAACAUGAACACGGUUCAGGUGUCAGUGGCUUUGGAGGACGUGACUGUCAUGCUCAGCCAGGAGGAGUGGCGGCACAUGGGCCCGCCCAGAGGACCCUGUACAGAGAUGUGAUGCUGGAGAUCUACAGCCACCUUGUCUCCGUGGGCUAUUGCUUUUCAAAAGCAGAACUGAUCUUCACAUUGUCACAAGGAGAAGAUCCAUGGCCAUUGGAGAAAGGGAAAAGAUGUCUAAGCAGAAAUU
Long non-coding RNA from Octodon degus (degu), 802 nucleotides. RefSeq lists it as uncharacterized. The transcript has 3 exons. The record is from RefSeq and is a predicted model, not a curated record. Lineage: Eukaryota; Metazoa; Chordata; Mammalia; Rodentia; Octodontidae.